Molecule: ribosomal RNA, 890 nt
Filed under: Escherichia coli
Lineage: Bacteria; Pseudomonadati; Pseudomonadota; Gammaproteobacteria; Enterobacterales; Enterobacteriaceae
Description: partial 23S ribosomal RNA
Rfam family: Bacterial large subunit ribosomal RNA
Source: RNAcentral
CGGGACACGUGGUAUCCUGUCUGAAUAUGGGGGGACCAUCCUCCAAGGCUAAAUACUCCUGACUGACCGAUAGUGAACCAGUACCGUGAGGGAAAGGCGAAAAGAACCCCGGCGAGGGGAGUGAAAAAGAACCUGAAACCGUGUACGUACAAGCAGUGGGAGCACGCUUAGGCGUGUGACUGCGUACCUUUUGUAUAAUGGGUCAGCGACUUAUAUUCUGUAGCAAGGUUAACCGAAUAGGGGAGCCGAAGGGAAACCGAGUCUUAACUGGGCGUUAAGUUGCAGGGUAUAGACCCGAAACCCGGUGAUCUAGCCAUGGGCAGGUUGAAGGUUGGGUAACACUAACUGGAGGACCGAACCGACUAAUGUUGAAAAAUUAGCGGAUGACUUGUGGCUGGGGGUGAAAGGCCAAUCAAACCGGGAGAUAGCUGGUUCUCCCCGAAAGCUAUUUAGGUAGCGCCUCGUGAAUUCAUCUCCGGGGGUAGAGCACUGUUUCGGCAAGGGGGUCAUCCCGACUUACCAACCCGAUGCAAACUGCGAAUACCGGAGAAUGUUAUCACGGGAGACACACGGCGGGUGCUAACGUCCGUCGUGAAGAGGGAAACAACCCAGACCGCCAGCUAAGGUCCCAAAGUCAUGGUUAAGUGGGAAACGAUGUGGGAAGGCCCAGACAGCCAGGAUGUUGGCUUAGAAGCAGCCAUCAUUUAAAGAAAGCGUAAUAGCUCACUGGUCGAGUCGGCCUGCGCGGAAGAUGUAACGGGGCUAAACCAUGCACCGAAGCUGCGGCAGCGACGCUGAUGCGUUGUUGGGUAGGGGAGCGUUCUGUAAGCCUGUGAAGGUGUGCUGUGAGGCAUGCUGGAGGUAUCAGAAGUGCGAAUGCUGACAUAAGU